GCAGGGCUGCCUGGCCAGUGUGGGAGUCCUGACUCAGUCCUGCACCACCCAGCACCUCCACUCCAUCCUGAAGGCUACCAACUACAAUGGCCACACGUGUCUACACUUAGCCUCUAUCCAUGGCUACCUGGGCAUCGUGGAGCUUUUGGUGUCCUUGGGUGCGGAUGUCAAUGCUCAGGUUGGUGCUUCCUGCCUCUGACGCACUGAGUCAGGUUCCUCGUGCUCAUGUUGUGAGCAGAAAUUCCAAACGCAACCAUAAGCAUCUCAAAUUCCUUUUGGUUUCAGGAGCCCUGUAAUGGCCGGACUGCCCUUCACCUCGCAGUGGACCUGCAGAAUCCUGACCUGGUGUCGCUCCUGUUGAAGUGUGGGGCUGAUGUCAACAGAGUUACCUACCAGGGCUAUUCUCCCUACCAGCUCACCUGGGGCCGCCCAAGCACCCGGAUACAGCAGCAGCUGGGCCAGCUGACACUAGAAAACCUUCAGAUGCUGCCAGAGAGUGAGGAUGAGGAGAGCUAUGACACAGAGUCAGAGUUCACGGAGUUCACGGAGGACGAGCUGCCCUAUGAUGACUGUGUGUUUGGAGGCCAGCGUCUGACGUUAUGAGCGCAAAGGGGCUGAAAGAACAUGGACUUGUAUAUUUGUACAAAAAAAAGUUUUAUUUUUCUAAAAAAAGAAAAAAGAAGAAAAAA
Molecule: small RNA, 689 nt
Filed under: Pongo abelii (Sumatran orangutan)
Lineage: Eukaryota; Metazoa; Chordata; Mammalia; Primates; Hominidae
Description: retained intron
Source: RNAcentral